AAGUUUCAACAACGGAUCUCUUGGCUCUCGCAUCGAUGAAGACGCAGCGAAAUGCGAUAAGUAAUGUGAAUUGCAGAAUUCAGUGAAUCAUCGAAUCUUUGAACGCACCUUGCGCUCCUUGGUAUUCCUCGGAGCAUGCCUGUUUGAGUAUCA
This 153-nucleotide ribosomal RNA is filed under the name uncultured fungus. RNAcentral's name for it is "partial 5.8S ribosomal RNA". It matches the Rfam family "5.8S ribosomal RNA". From Rfam's summary of the family: 5.8S ribosomal RNA (5.8S rRNA) is a component of the large subunit of the eukaryotic ribosome. It is transcribed by RNA polymerase I as part of the 45S precursor that also contains 18S and 28S rRNA. Functionally, it is thought that 5.8S rRNA may be involved in ribosome translocation. The record is from RNAcentral. Lineage: Eukaryota; Fungi.